RNAcentral lists this ribosomal RNA (268 nucleotides) under uncultured prokaryote. RNAcentral describes it as "partial 16S ribosomal RNA". It matches the Rfam family "Bacterial small subunit ribosomal RNA", at positions 524 to 792 of the family's 1533-position model. The record is from RNAcentral.
UACGUAGGGGCAAGCGUUAUCCGGAUUUAUUGGGUUUAAAGGGUGCGCAGGCGGGAGAUUAAGUCGGCGGUGAAAUUUUGCAGCUCAACUGUAAAAGUGCCUUCGAUACUGGUUUCCUUGAGUGUGGAUGAAGUAGGCGGAAUUUGUGGUGUAGCGGUGAAAUGCAUAGAUAUCACGAGGAACUCCGAUUGCGCAGGCAGCUUACUAAACUACUACUGACGCUCAGGCACGAAGGCGUGGGGAUCAAACAGGAUUAGAUACCCUGGUA